Molecule: long non-coding RNA, 477 nt
Organism: Cyprinus carpio (common carp)
Lineage: Eukaryota; Metazoa; Chordata; Actinopteri; Cypriniformes; Cyprinidae
Exons: 3
Source: RefSeq, a predicted model, not a curated record
AAGAUGUUUAAAUGUGAAUAUUAAGAUCCUGGUGAAUGUAAACGGAUAGAGGUAACAACUAAUUGUUUUAUUUGUUCAUUUAACUGUUUUUAAAAGCAUAGCCCAGUAGCUUGUACAUGUAAGAUACAAACAUGUCAUUUCAUCUGUCUAAGUACAAUGUUGUUGUUUUUCUCAAUAUUGCACUUCUCAAGAAUCAGUGAUACUACAUUUCCAUGCCCGUUCCUGAUUUUAUGCAGUACUGUAUGAAUGGGACUUUUAUUUUGGUCUGGCGCUGUGACGUCAUAAAGCGGCGCCGCGCUCCGUAUCUGUUGUGAUUCACCUCAAGAAAGAGUCAUCUGAGAUCCAGCUUAUUGGCACAUUGACGCCCUGAAAAACUACAGUGAUUCAGUGCCUUAGUCAGUCUUGAUGACCGCAGCGUGACACAGUACCAUCUCAAUCAAGAACCUGAGUUUCCCACAGCCGUAACUGGAUAUUAUA